Long non-coding RNA from Gallus gallus (chicken), 9914 nucleotides. RefSeq lists it as uncharacterized. Lineage: Eukaryota; Metazoa; Chordata; Aves; Galliformes; Phasianidae. The transcript has 3 exons. The record is from RefSeq and is a predicted model, not a curated record.
GGCAGCGGCGGAGCGGCCGCCGCCAUUUCCCGGCCCAAGAGCUCCACCAUUUGGCGGCCGCGCACACUGCGGCCCUGAGCUCAUGAGGCAGCGACCGGUCGGGAAAUACAGGCGGGUAGAGGAGCGGAAGGACGGCGAAGACUGCUGGGCUCGGUCCAGAAGGCUGUUGGGAUUUCAGCCAGCUUCCUACAGAAUCUCCUCCCAAUAUCCAUCAGCCCAUCUCCCUGGCUGAAAGCUGGCACCAUGUCUUGGCCUUGCUGUCUUCAUGCCCACCAGCCUUUGCUGCCAGGCACAAACACACUGAACCUACAUUCCAGCCUUCCCAUGGCAGGAUAUGGCCAACCGUCCCAUGUUGCCAUUCAGCUGCAGAACUGCGCAGAGCCUGGAAGAUGCCUCUGAGAUGUCUUCUGCCCAGCCAAUGCAGGUUCAUGAAGAAACACCUUCUUAUAUACAAACAUCUUCUGCAGUUCUUUAUCUGCUCUUCUUCGUUCACGUUGCAGUGCUUUUUACCUCCUCUACUACAAGAAAGACAUUGAGGCCCUGGAAUGUGUCCAGAGAAAGGCAACGAAACUGGUGAGGGGUCUGGAGCAUAGAUCUUAUGAGGAGCAGCUGAGGGAACUGGGAUUUCUUAGUCUGGAGAAGAGAAGGCUCAGAGGAGAACUUAUUACACUCUACAACUUCCUGAAGGGAAGUUGUGAUGAGGAGCGUUUCAGCCUCUUCUCCCAGGCAACAAACAGGACCCAAGGAAAUGGCCACAAGUUGUACCAGAGGAGAUUUAGAUUAGACAUAAGGAAAAACUUUUUCUCUCAGAGAGUGGUCAGGCGCUGGAAUGGCCUGCCCAGGGAGGUGGUGGAGUCGCCAUCCCUGGCAGAGUUCAAGAGGCGUCUGGAUGAGGAGCUACGAGAUAUGGUUUAGUAGCUUGUGGUAGCAAGGGUAAUGGGAGGACGAUUGGACUAGAUGAUCUAUAGGUCCUUUCCAACCUUGUGAUUCUAUGAUUCACUGGUGCCAUGAGGAGUUACCAGCUUCAUUUCUGCUAAUAAACAAACAAAACAUCACUUUCCCCUAAACAACGCUCCGAAGAGAUGCUUUUGUUAUUCCUUUAGCAGACAUUGUAGGGAAGACUGAAGAUAAAUGUAUUGAUAUCUUUGGAUAAAAUCUGAUUAAUCUUCCCAUGUACUCCUUUUCACUUGAGUAGGGGAGAAGUUUUUUUUGUCAAAUAACCUAUUACCAGCAUCAGUUUAAGACAGAUGUUUAAAUACUGGAGACAUUUCAGAGACAAGCUGCAAAAAUGAUCAAAUUUAGGAAAGAGCAUCUCCCAGUGAGAGACUCAAGGAGUCCAAAUCUAUCCAGUUUAAAAGUGCUUAAGCAGCACCAAGUCCCAAAAUGUGAAAAGAAAGGUAAGAAUCAGUAGAGGACAAAACAUACAGACAUAGCGUGUCCAAAAUGUUAUCUGUGGAACAAAAAGAGUUUGUUCACGUGCACUUGGGGAUGCCUCACACUUACUGGGUGCACGAAGAACUGUACAGUGUGUGUACAGACAGUUCCUGGGACAUUGCACUGGGCAGGCUGAUGCAGAACAAGAAGGCAUUACAAGAAAACCAGGCAUUCACUGAAAGCACCAGGCUUACAGUGUGGUGCACACAGCUACCAACUGUGCAUAUGUGCCACAAUUGUCCUGAGCUUUUUCAGGCAUACAGAAAGAAAACUGGCCAGAGCUGCUGUACAACUCAGGUUAUGCAGUUAUCUGAAGGGCCAGCAGCAUAGAUCUGCGAUGUGUAAGGAGCUACAACUGAGAAGACAGUUCUAUAUGGAGUCAUCCAAAGAAAAGGGGCUUUUUUUUUCCAAGAACUGUUCUCUGAUGUUACACAGCUAGCACUGGUUGGUGGAACAAACCAGUAUCUGUCAGUACCACCAAACUUCUGCCUUAAGUCUGCAGCUAUGGUUCCCUUCAGUGAUAUUUCUCUUCAGGGUGUGAGAUUUCCCUCUGACAUCUGGAAGAUGAGCAUUCACAAUUGCUGUUGAUAAAUCAGUUGUUCUGACAGUAGCACGCAUCAUGCAGGAGUGAUACCUCCUUUUGUAGUGUAUCUCGAAAUAGCACAUACCCAUGUGGGCUGCUGGUAGGAUUCAUGCACCCAACAUAUUGGGUUUAUUCACACACAAAAAAAUACUUCACUGUUGUUUGCCAGUUACAGUGAAGUCCAUACAUACAGUAAGACUGGUUUAUCAUUCUUCACAGGGAAAAGCAGUUUGUUUUCUGCUUCUCUCUGUUGCCAGUCCUUUUAAUAAUUACUUUACUAGAAGAGAAAAAUGGCUGACCUUUGCACUAGGAGCUUGUACUAAUGGAAAAAUAAAGAAAUUUGAGGUUGAGGCUGAUAGAUUCAUUUAGCCUGUUGUGGGUGAGCAAGAUGUGUAGAAGGAAGAUGUCCCCUCUGUGAAAGGCUGUAAUUGAUGGGGGUGUUCCACAACAGAAGACCUUAUGCCUUCAUUGCCAACAGAGCUGUCACGCUCUCUGUGGUGUCCUCUUCCAUCAGACAGAUACCUGUUGGAUUAACUCAUCCUGCUCUGAGCAGCCUGUGAUGAAAACACAGCACAAGAUUAUCAUCCUUGCCUGAAUGUGAAGGUACUCUCAAUGGUUCCGCAGCCUCUCCCAGGCCUGAAGAUGUGUGACCACUACACCAACAUAAACAAGCGUUCAGUCUCUUCAGUGAUUGCUGACAGUGAACUGCAAUUCUUUACCUGAAAUUUAUCGAGGAAUGGCAGAUGGACACUGCUUUUACAACUUUCUGGCAUGACCAAUUUCUGAGUGUUUUUACAUUCAGAUGAAGAAUUCAGCUGCUUUGUUCUUUGAUGCCAAUUACUCUGCCCCAAGUUAAAUGGCACUAGGUGAAGACUGUUGAGAUCCAGCUAUCUGUUUGUGCUACCUAUCUGUAAGCACUCUGGAAAUCACAUGGAAGCAAGGAGACAGCUAGAAAUACCAAGAAUUAUGAAACUCGUUGAAUUUGGUACAACAACAACAAAAAAACAAACAACAAAUUCUGUCCAUCCAAUCAUUGGAUUUUUGUGUGUAAAAAAAAAUAUCAGCCUCUGAAGAAAAAAGUUUGAAACCAAAAGUUGUUCAUUCUGUGGCUUACAAUUAAAAGUUGCAUUAUAUAAAGACUGGCUAACAAAAUAUACUGAAAAAAGCCCAAAUGUCUGUUGUAAAACUUUUCAUUGUGUUUUUAUUGCAAAAUACGAUGCAGUUGAUACUCUUCUAUCAGGAAAUAACACUAACAGCAGUACUGAGUGAACAGCAUCAUGCCUGCGUAAGAUAUAUUUGGAGGUACAUGGAAGAACACAAGAUACCACAGAUCACUUGGCCUGAAGCUUUCACAAGGGAAAAAAAAACCUGCAGGUUUCGUCUGUGGUCUCUAGUAUAUUUAGCCAGUUCCUGUACAGUACUUGACCAAGAACUGAAAAUACGGUGUAUGCAUGUGUGUGCAUGAAUAUAUUUGAAAAACCUUUUCCUGAUACCCAGAGGAGGAUUGGGUUGAAUAUCAGGAGAAGGUUCUUCUCCAGUAUGUGUUGGGGAACUGGAACAGGCUCUCCAGGGCAGUGGUUACAGCCGCACGCUUGCUGGAGUUGAAGAAGCAUUUGGGCAAAGCUCUCAGCCAUAUGGCCUGAUUUUUGAGUUGUCCUGUGUGGAGCCAGUUGGACUCAGUGAUUCUCAUGGGUCUCUUCCAACUCAGGAUGUUCUGUGAUUCUAUGAUUCUAGGAACUAUAACUGUAUAAUAUACUUUUAUAUAUGUGAUGAAGUUGUAAAGCUUCUGCUUAAGUGGGAUGCUAUCAAGUCAUAAUUUUUGCAUCCUGAAAAACAAACCAAUGGCUAGGAAUUUAGUAUUCAUCACUACGGCAAGUGUUAAGCCAGCAGUGUUUCCCCCAUGCAUUCUGUGGCUUCUUUCAUGGCUUGCUUUGGGAAUAGCAGUAUGGAAGAUUCUCUUCAUUGUAUCAGAUGGCAGAAGGCAGAAAACUGAUGGCAAAAAAGAGGAAAAGUUACAGAAACAAAUUUUUCCCCCAUUCUCUGAAGAAUCCUGGCAAGCAGUUAAAAAAUGAGAGGGGGGAAUUAUUUACAGUGAAGGUGGCUGUCUUCUGAGAAAUGCCUUUUUUAAGUUAUUGUAAUUUGCUGACUUAACAAAUGCUUCAUGUGGAAACAGGCUCACUGAUACUACUGAUACAGAACUUUAGACUUUUAGGGCAGUUGAGCCCUGAAUUACAUCUCUGCUCAGCUCCUGUCAUGUUUUGCUUCUUCUCUCCGAUGCUGACUGUGACCAUUUCCAGAGUCUCUAGCCACUGGCAUGCCUCCUGUGCAGUUCAUUAUUUUAACUUCUUAGCCAGAGAUGUAAAGCCCACCACUUCUGGAGCAAUGGCCAUUCAAACAAACCACUACACAACUGUCUAGGCUGAUUUCUACAACUUAUGCCCCAAAUCUCAGACAGUGACUUCGGCAUUAAUUUCAUUUUCUGUCUAGAAAGAUGCCUAUUUUUGCUAAAAACUUCUAGCCAGAGACAUAUGAUUACCUGAAAGGAAGCCUUUGAACGUUUAAUUAUUUCCUUUUCACUAGUCAUUUCCAAAUCUCCAAAACUCUGGGAAAACAGCCUGAGCAAGCCAGUAUCAGCACACUACAAGAUAGGAGCUGAUAAUAGAGAGCUCCUGCUAAGAGGUUAAGUGGAUACCUGGUGCCAUCUUUUUAUACCUUACAUAACCGACAUAAAAAAUCAAUUACCUUCUGGCAAAAGCCAAUAAGAAAGUGUUAAAAUCUGAGUACAAGAACAGUAUAGAAAAAGGCAUUCAAAGUAAUUACUACUACUUGAUAGAAUUUUAAUUUUCACAUUAAAUUAAUACAUUCUGUUUUGCCAUCCUUUAUUGUCUUUCAUCAUGGCUUACUGCUGCAAAACAUUUGCAUUUAAAUGUUACCCUAGUGAAAAAUGUUCUGUUCAAAGAAUUGUCUUUUUAAUGGUGAAUUUAAGAAAAGCUGUAGCAAAGUUAAGUACAAUCAACCAUAUUAAUUAACCACUCAAUUCUCCAAUGCCUAGGAAUCAUUCAGAGCAUGAGUAAGAACAGUUAAAUGAUACUCAGCUCAUCCAAGAGCCUAAAUUUAACUACUGUAUCAUGUUAAUGAGAGAUAUAAUGCGCUGUGUCCGCAAACAGAUGGUGUUAGCCCACAUUAAUAAACUCAGUGGAGAACUUAAUAUGCUUAGAUUUAGAUGGGUUAUUCCACAGGAUGACACAGCUGAUGACGCAUCCUGAAGCAACAUAUCUGUAUUUGGCAGUUCUUUAUCGUCUUACUCUGUGCUUCUGGCUAUGCCGUCUGCUCUCCCUGCACCCUGCCUGGCCUCUGGGUUACCCUGACCAGCACAUAAACAUGUGCAGCCCUUUGUUGGUCUUAUUUGUGGAAGCCAAAUUGUUGCACAGCCAUAUGUAAUAUUUUUACUUGCUUGAUCCCUGGAUUUCACUGACCCCAGGGAAGACCUGUGCAUCCAUCUGUGUUUGGAGAGAGGUCAGUGUAUCCCCAUUCUGUAUACAUAUAUACCUCCCCAUUCUCUUUAUAUAUAUACACAUGACAUAUAUUCGCCUUCUUUUUCUCUCGCUCCAACUUACGUACUUGCUUUGCCUCCCUCUUCUCCCAGCAGAGUGGGGCUAGGUACACAAGUAAGAAAGAUGUGGUUGCCUGAUUCUGCCUUGCCCUGUCUCAUUUGAGGGCUGCAGCUGCCAGGGCAGGGGCAUGAGCUGGGCAUAAAGCCACUGUUGCUACUAUGAGUCCCAUAUGGUCUCAUUUUUACUACAGGCUGUGCUUUUGCCUCCCGUAAUACUGUGCCUCUGAAGGCAACAGAUUGGGUCUGGACGUUCUUGCCCAGGGAUCUCUUGGCAGCUCAUCCUGUUUGCAUUUCCAAAACCAUAAAAUGUUUGUAUGUUAUGUUUUGCCUAUUUAACCACUGCUACUGUCUUGCAGUAAAUAAAUAUUUAAAACAUAUUAAAUAAUAGACUUUACUACCUCAGAAAAAUUAAGUGAAGCAUUUCAUGUGAUUGUUCAAAGUGGUAUUUGAUGUGAUUGGAUCACGGUAAUAAAUUUACCUACGCUGCUUCUAGUGAAUUCAUUUAUAUGAAUUUGAUGCACCUUACCAGAAACAUCCAAAAUUAUUUUUCCCACUAUUUCAUUAUUCAAAUAAUGCACAAAGCUUCCUAAAAUAAAUCUUUUCGAUACCGCUUCACUUAUCUCCUGAAUAAUGCCAACCUAGUGCUUUCUAAAUAAAGGUUGCCUAAUACAAAGCCUCUGUAAAUACAUACUGCAACUUAGAAAUGAGAAAUCAGAGGAAGUAUGUGGAAAAAAAACAUGUGUAAACUAAAAGUUCAAACGUGCUGGAAUUCAAAACAUAUUUUCAUAAGAUAUUUUCGUAUUUGCACAAUGGCAUAAGUGUAAAGUCUGCAGAAAGCUUAAGAUGUUCUUAUGCAAUUUAUAUAAUAUGACCUGGAAUAUGGAAAAUGUUGACUUGGUACUUAGUAUUCGGACUUGCAGAAAUUACCACAAUAAUAUUACGGAGCUUUUGCUGCUGUAUAGUUGGGCAUAGGUUUUCAGUACGAACUGAGGAAAAUUGCUUCUUUCAAGAAUAGAAUUUGAUGAGCAUGCAUAUUCUACGUGCUAACAACACACAUACCAGAAAAGAUACAGAAAAUAAUUUCAGGAUUUCAUUCCCUACCUUGCAAGAUUGUCUUCUGUUAGUGACAGAGACUGUUUUCUUUGGUUAUAACUGCUCUUUCCUGUUAGGACUAGAAACAUACUGUGAGAGUUUCAGCUGAGAUAUUCAGAGAAAGAAGAGGGAGAAGUAUGAAGGUGAAAAAGUAAUGAACAUAGAUGUAGAAGUCUACAAGUACAGUUCAGCAAUGAAAAUAUUUGCUGCUUUAAUUUGUACCCGGUACACAUUAUUUGCACUAUAUUUUCACCUUCAUAUACCAUGCGUGUGUGGCCAUCUACAUACAUUGCUCCAAAAAUGAUGCUUCCUAUAUAUUUCUAUGGACUCUACAACUGAUACAAAGAGCACAAUAACACUAUUAUAUGAUAAAGCAAAUUCUCAGUUACAAAACAUGAUUUUUCAACGUAGUCAACACCAUUAAAUACGUAUUUUCACCAGUGAUGAACAAGAGCCUCCACUCUGUGCUCAAAAAAAUCUGCACCAUUAGAGGUGACCCACUGCUUCACAGCUGCUAUAAUGGCAUUAUUGUUAGGAAAAUGUUGCCCACACAGUUUAUUUUUCAUCAGCUCAAACAGAUGGAUGUCAGAAGGUGCCAAAUCCAGACUAUGCAAAGGGUGUGGAAGAACAGACCAGCCAAGACUGGCAAUGUACAGAUUUUCAAACUGGUAGGGAGCCUGAGCUUAUUGUGUUGCAAGAGAAAGGCUGUAUUCUUCUUCAAACUGACUGGAAAUUUAGGCCUUCAGCUUAAUCAGUGUUGCAAUGUAGUGAUCAGUCGAUGGUUUGUCUGGGUUCCAGAAAAUACAGUAGGAUCACUAGUUUUUUAUCCCAACAGGCAGUGCACAUCAUUUUAUCCACUGAGGGCUGCAUCUGGAACUUUUUCUGUAAUGGGGAAUUCAUAUGUUGUUACUUUAUGGACUGCCGUUUUGAGAUGAGACACCACAGCUCAUCACUGGCAAUGAUGAGAUCCGGGAAACUGUCAUCUUCAGCCUCAUAUCAGUUCAAUAGGUCCUGAGGAACUUGCAUACUGUGUUCCCUCUUUUCCUGCGUGAGCAUUUGUGGAACCCAUGUAGCACAAACUCUGUGAUAUUCCACCAUUGCCACCAUCGUUUCCAGUGCACUGAAGCUGUUAUUCCCUGGUCACAAUCCACUGAUUCUCACAGAUGAGCUGAUUGAGACACUCCUCAUUUCAUGGUGUGACAGCUGUGUACGGCUGUCCAGAACUUCCUUGACUUUCACAUCACUGCUGCCACUACUGAAAUGCAGCACUUAAAUGAACUGCUUGUUUAUUGAAUUUAAUGAAAUACAGUCUAAGAACCAGAGGGAGGAAUAAAAUAAGAUGUGGAUGCUCUUGAGUAAUUAUGGCAUCUCCUUCUCAGUCUCUCACAGACUUCAUCCCUGGAUGGCCUAAUCAUCAUCCAGUGCAAUACCAGUUGCAUUUGCCACACCCUGUUCUUUCAGUCUUCUUUUUGUUUCUAAAUGAAACUCAUGAAGUUUUAUUGACCAAACCAUUUAUUGAACGCCAAUGUUUCCUCCUCUGUAUGAACAGCGUAUUGAAGUCCAGGCUAAGACAUGCUGUGAACACACAAUGGAAAGUAAUCAAGUGAGAUGCAGAUCUCACACCCCAGAGCAAUUUGCAUCACAGUCUUGGACUUUUGAAAAUGUUGAACAAGGCUACAGUUGCCCCAACUUUCUUUCCAUUAACUGGUGAAGGAUGGAAUCAGCAGAAAGUGUUCCCUGGGCUCAGUCACCUUCUUAACAGUGUCUCCUGUGGCAUACAGGAGCAGGAUUUAUCAUAGCAUCAUGGAACCAUAGAAUAUCUUGAGUUGGAAGAGACACACAAGCAUUACUGAGUCCAGUUCCAGGCUCCAUAUAGACUUGCCAAAAUUUCAAAUCCUAUGUCUGAGAGUGUUCUUCAAACAUUUCUUGAGCUCUGGUAGGCUUGGUGCCCUGGGGAGCCUAUUCCAGAAAGCCUGACCACUUUCUCAGUGAAGAAAGUUUUCCUAACAUGCAAUCUGACUGUCCCCUGACACAGAUCCAUGUGUUCUCUUGCAGUCAUCAGAGAUCAGCGCCUGCCUCUCUGUCUCUGUCUCCUACUCUCUGGGCUGAGCCAACCAUGUGACCUCAAUGACUCCUAAUACCUCUUGCCCUUUAGACCCUUCACCAUCUUUGUAGCCCUUCUUUGAAGACUCUCAAAUAGUUUUAAAUCCCUCUUAUAUCAUAGCGCCCAAAACUGCACACAGUGCUCAAAGUUGAGGUUGCACCAGCACAAAGCAGAGUGAGACAGUCCCUUCCCUCACCCUGCUGGCAGUGCCAGGCCUGAUGCACCCCAGGGUACCAUUGGCCCUUUUGGCUGACAGGGCACACUUCUGAUUCAGAUUCAACUUUCUUCAACCCCCAGAUCCCUUCCUGCAGGACUGCUCUCCAGCCUCUCAUUCACCAGUCUGUACAUACACCCAGGGUUGCCCCAUUCCAGGUGCAGAAUCUGGCACUUACUCUUGUUAAAAUUCAUGUGGUUGGUAGUUGUCCAGGCCUCUAAUUUUUCAAGAUCUCAAGACGUAUGCACUGAAUGUGGACUGCUUAGUGCCUGGAAAAGGCUCUGUGGCACUUAGUGUGUCUGCCUCUGCUUCAGCUCUCAGAAGACUUCAUCUCAUGGGAACCGAUGAGUUUGUUCUCAAUCACUGAAACCAACACUGGGAAUCUUGAGAUGGAGAACACAUGUCAAAAUCUGCCACUAGGUCCUGCAUUCUUCAUUGAUUCAAGAAAGCCAGGUGGAUUCUACACUGCCUCACAGAUCAGAAGAAAAACAUGAGCACAUUAUCGUUACAAAAUCUGUAUUACUGCUAGUAAUGACACAUUAAUAUAUUUGAUUUUUCUUUUCACAGAAUACAUCGGUUUUCAAAUAUAUUUUGAAUCUCCCUUUAGAUUUAAAGUUGAAUAUAUUUGCAUGAGGAAUCAUGAGGUAAAAAUAAGAAAAAAAAACUGUAAAGAAAAACAAACUGAAUAUGUGAAAUCAACUGUAAAAACGUUUCGAGGGUGGAGGUGUAAUAGAAGAGUGCUUGAAUAUUUAUCAGCUGAUUUUACCAAAUGGCCAUUAAAGUCAAGGACCAUCUUAAGAAUCAAAGCAAGGACUUUUUCUGGGAGUGAAAUUAUAUUAUUAUUUUUAAAUAAAGUUUAGUGGUGAUCAACAUA